This 92-nucleotide microRNA precursor is filed under the name Bombyx mori (domestic silkworm). RNAcentral describes it as "mir-2807 microRNA precursor family". It matches the Rfam family "mir-2807 microRNA precursor family". The record is from Rfam by way of RNAcentral. Lineage: Eukaryota; Metazoa; Arthropoda; Insecta; Lepidoptera; Bombycidae.
CUAACUCAAAUUUGUAUGUUGUCGGAACGUUUGCCUAAAUUUACGUACGUUUGCCUAGGGGCGCUGUUCCAAUUGCAUUCAAAUUUGAUUUA